ACCCCAAAGAUAGAUCAGUUGGUAGAGCAUGAGACUCUUAAUUCCAGAGUCAUGGGUUCGAAUCCUAUGCUGGGCA
This is a non-coding RNA of Podarcis lilfordi (Lilford's wall lizard), 76 nucleotides long. The record is from the annotation of a GenBank genome assembly. Lineage: Eukaryota; Metazoa; Chordata; Lepidosauria; Squamata; Lacertidae.